Long non-coding RNA from Schistocerca americana (American grasshopper), 260 nucleotides. RefSeq lists it as uncharacterized. Lineage: Eukaryota; Metazoa; Arthropoda; Insecta; Orthoptera; Acrididae. The record is from RefSeq and is a predicted model, not a curated record. The transcript has 3 exons.
CACUCAUUGUCAUCGUCGUGGUCGCCGCCUGUGUCGGAGCCAUCUCUGCACAGGUGGUAUGUCCCAAGGAGUGCCUAGAGCUGGCAGGAGGGCCUCCGGUUGCAGAAGACCAACUGCAGUCUGGACGCGAUGGGAGGGACCUGCCCAGUCAAAGUCUACGAGCGCCACUUCCCGCCUCAGCGACCACAGCAAAUAGCAAGCCGAUACCCCUGGAUAGCAACGUUAGCGAAGAGUAUAAUCGAUGGUUCUCGUUUUUUCAG